CAACUACUCUAGAUAAAAAAAAUUUCAGGAUCUCGGGCAACUCCAACACAAAGAUAUGGAGGUGUGAAAACUACCCUGAGUUGCUCCCAGAAAAGGAUGGUACGGCCGUGCUCGCUCGACUUGGCGGGUCGAUCUCUGCCCGCCAAGUCGAGAUUAAGUACCGUGUUAUGUUUCCCGAAAAUUCCGAUUGGACCGAAGGAAGAAUAACUGGUAAAGACGGGUCGAUCUCUGCCCGACACAGUUUUCCUCCGAGAAAGAAACCAGCUCCCUUCGGCACGCGUUAGCCAUAAAAUACCUAAACGAAAUCGGCCCGAUACCGCCCCGAAAAAUUCCCACGGACGGCCAGUGGGUCGGUGGUGGAAGAAAAUAAAACGGUCGGAUCGACCCCGGUAAUGAGGAGACGGGUGGCGCCUCCGCCUCCUAACUUCUUAUCCUCACCAUGGGCUUAUUUCUUUGGCUGGGGAUGGGCUAGGCUGACCCGCCUCGAUAACUUCUUUCCGGGCCGACCAUUAAUUGGCGGGGCACGGAGCGGCCCCGCCGUCCACCCUCGACCCGGUGCGGAGGCCAACCGGCCGGCUGGUAGUUAUCUGGGUGAGGAACCUUCACCGUUACCGAGUGUCCCUCUUCCGGUGGAAAACCGAAGCUUUCCUACCGACCACCUCCACGGUGGUAAGGCCGAACGAGUAGCUUCGGAUCUCGGGGUUCCGGCCUAGUCCACUCUCGUCCUCUGGCUGAACUUCUCUUCCUUGGCUGGGUCUGGGCUUCCGUGCCGCCCGGAUUACCCUCCUUCCACCCGUUUCGGUGGCUGGGAAGAAAAGCGGGCCGAGCGCGGCCGCCUCCUUCCGUCCUAUAGGUCGGUGUCGUCCUCCGUUCCGCAGUCCGGGUCCGGGGCCCGGCUCCGCCUCCUUUCCUUUCCGCCCGCCCACAGGGCGGGCGGCCUCUCGUCCCGCCGGAAUCGGAUAAUAUCGGACGGAAACGCGGCACGCUCGGCUACCCCGGUCUAAUUCGGCCCGGCUAAUGCGCUUACCGCGGUACUCCAGGCGGCGUAAUUAAAGACGGAGGGGAAAGAAUCGGUCCGCCCCUUCGGCCUGGACACGAUCUUCCACUUAAUUGGAACUCUUUCUUCCGCUCCGCUUCCCGGGGCGCCGACCGGGCGGAUGAGGGGGGCGGUGGUGGCCCCGCAUUCGUUCCACCCGUCCGGCCCCUUCGGCGGUCGACGGGAUUAAAGAUCGGCCGUUUCCUCCCCGGCCGAUGACAGACGCCUCGACUCUGGAACGGGCGGCGUGGCCGUCGGGCGCCGCCCAGAGGGAAACCGGUUGGAGCGCCCCGUAUCCGGGCCUGACAGGUAGCCAGGGGAUUGGUGGCCGACAGCCGACCGACGGUUGGUCCCGUUCGGCGCUACUCCCGACAAGUAUUAACUCCGUCUAACCAGAGCGGUGGCCGUCACCGACGCCACUGUCUUCGACGGUAAUUUUUCCCUCUUUCCGAUGCCUAGCGCUCCAGAGAAGAGAUAGGGCGAUACAUAUAUAUAAUUAUAUUUGUGCCAAAGAAAUAAGACGGCGUAAGAAAGACCUGGAUUCCCAGUGGAUGCGGAUUGCGCCGGAUGUGGAAACGAAAGGAGGCGUAUUUAACAUAUCCAGUAGCGGAUGAAACAAAAAUGCCGACGGUGACGAUAGUGUGUACAUAUAUAUAUAUUUUUAUAAUAUAAUAUAAUAAUAUCGGGACUCUACAAUAUCGAGCGAAAAAACUGCGCUAUCCCCAACCAAAUCGCAACCACUUUCUUCUCGGAUAUAGAGCCAGGUGCCCGACGUGGAUCUAUUUGGGCGCGUCCACUUUUCCCACGCUUUUCCAGCUAGUCCAGGUGCCGACCAGAGGCCACCAUCUCCACCCGUUGGAGCCCGGAAAGGGAACGACUACCGCCCCUUCGGACAGCCGUGGGUUACCCCGACGAUCGAGGGGCUGGGGCUAAAACCUUUACCAUUCCGUCUCCGUCAAUCGAGACUCUUAUUUGGCCAGUGGUGUAAGUCCACCUUAGGUCCAAAGACGAUAGCCGCGACUGGGCUAGUAACCAGAUAUAUUUAUUUAUUUAUUUGUGACUGAAAUAGUGGGCGUACUCGGAAGUUUAACCCAAAGAAAAGGAAGGAAGAAGUGGGAAAGACAGAGUUAAAGAUUCCUGCCGAAGAAAGUGGACGGGCCGCUAGUAGUAGUAGAUUUAGUGGUAGUAGUAGUAAUAAAAGCCACCAAAAUUCGACAUACAACUAGCGGACAAAAGAUUAGGCGACCGAUGCGAUGAAACGACCCAGCAAUCCAGACGACCGAGAUAUCGGAAUGAUAAAAGGUCGGUUGGAGAGUGUCGGUCACGGUGGAUACGCCGUCAAAUUGUUUGAUAUCGUAGACCAGUCUAAAAGAAAACUGGAGAGGAUAAGUUUUAGAUUCAGAUAUACAGCGGCGCUUCCCGCGCCAGUGGUGCCAGUCGGAACGUCAAAUGGCCACUAGCGGCCCGUUUCCAUACAAAAUGUCGGUAGUCGCGUUUUCUUAGUCGAAAGCCUGAGCGGAGGAUUGGUAACAUCGGUUGGAAAUCGAAAGUCGGUCUAGGUAGGCGCGAUCAACGCGGUCGGGAUAUUUCGACGGGCGAUACCGCGCGCCGAUCGAAGAAAUCGCCUACCGCGACGGUAGAACUGGCGCCGUGGAUGACUGUGGUACGGAAAACCGAAUAGCCGGCCAGACGUCGGCGAGUAGUAGGGAUAGGACGGAAGUCGAUAUUACUGGCGGUCCAACGGGAAAACCGACUUAAGGAUAGAGAAUGGGUAAUUCGGGACCACGGUAUUCCCGUAGAAGGGGAAAGGACGGUAAGUACGGUAGGAAGUGGGUGGACCAGAUUUGGCCGACGGGAUUUAUUCCGAGCGUGGGGGAGAAGGAGUGAUUGGGGCCAACCAAACGCCUACCUGGUCGGCCUGGCCGAAGGUGAACCGAUCGAUCCCAGGCGUGUCCGAGAUUCCACUCACCGUCCGAAAGCCCGCGCGUGACUCCCAGUCCAAUCCCGCGGGGCAGUAGUGGGCCAGCCGCCUUUUCUUAGCCACACAGACUUAUCCCGGUGCGUCUCCGGGAUAAGUCUAUGUGGGAGACGCACCGAGUGACGGACAGCUACCGGGAGGGUGCGGUACCGGCAGCCGAACGCCAGAGGGGCCAGCGCCUAUGGUCGGCCAUCGACCUUAACCUAGUGUCUGGAGCAAACGAGCGCCUUAGUAGAUCUCCCAAAUACACCCGGUUCUCUUUUUACGCCAUUUCGAUUUAACAUCAAAUUAGCAAAAAUAUUUCGUUUUCUUCUCGCGCCAUCUGUUUGGAUUUAACAGCAUCCAGCCAAAUUCUAAGAAAAUUUUUGGGUACGACGGUUUAGGCGGCGCCGGCUCGCCAGUCUUCGCCUCCGUCCGCUGAUUUUUGAUUCUAAUUACCAAAGAAAGUUCUGGGGAAACAAACUCCCUAUCCGAGUUAGGAGUAUAAUUAGGGGAAAUUCCCUAAUUAUACGCCUAACUCGGAUAGAGUUUUGUCCGUGUUUGGCGAUUGGGGUUUAAAACGAAAAGUAAAUUUUGAUGGCAUAAAAAAGUUUAAUGAAAGUUAAAAUCAAAAUCUGGUUACCUAUAACCGGUAUUAUUUUGCCCUUUACCGCUAAGUAACACGCUAUUUUUCUUUUCCAACCAUAUUUUAUCUUAUAUAAUAGAUUUUUAUAUACAGGCGCCACCUUUACCAAAUUAGAAAUACUAAAGAUUAUAAGACGGUUUAGUGUAUUUAUUAAUAUUUUUGGCCAUUUUUUAGACACCAUAUACACUACUUUUUAUACCUAUUCUCCGGCCACCUAUCUACGGCCUAAAAACAGAAUUAGCUCGGGCUAUUCCCGACAAAAAUGGUAGCUGGUAACUCCAGGCGGAAUUAACCGCCCCAGAAAUGUACCAGGGUACCGUUAGAAGGGCCGGGCGGAAGAGAGGUAGAUACACCGGCGAUACCUGACGGCCGAGAUGGACUUCUUUCUAUUCGUUCCAGUUUUUCGGUAACUGGCCCAGGGCCGCACCAUUCACCAGCCAUGUUACGGUGGCUGGUUCUACCAAUGACAACGACAACGUAAUGGAAAAUAAUUUCGACACCUACCGGUUGAGGUGGAGGCGGCCAAAAGAGAACUUUUGGCGCCGCUAAUAUCGGAGGCCGAAGAAAGGCUGGAAAGGGAAAAUGGCGCGAGUGCGUCGGAACGGUCGGCAGUGACUGACAACCUCAGCCACGCGUUACGGGAAUUCCACCGAUUCCGAGUGUACGCGGACGGACAUCCAUCCCCCUGGGAUUUUCUUAUUUUAAAGAACUUUAACAACUCGUAUCUCCCGCGGGGGAAACAUCACUGGCCUCAUCGGCACCUCCAUUCAUCGUCGCCAUUUUUACCCUUUUCGGGCCACUUCCUCCGGAUUACCCGGACGUUUUCGGAGCCUUCUAUUUUCUCGGUAGAUUUUAGACUGGCUUCGGGUCGGUUCUGGCUAGCGCGCUUUAGGGUGCGUUCCUAAAAUCAGAGAUUUGAAAGCACUUCGCUUAACCAUUGCUGACAUCAAAAUUUUUCGCUUUUAAGAACGAUAUACGCUUCUCGAAAGCAAAAUGGACGACCUUCUGUUGACAGCAGCUA
RNAcentral lists this long non-coding RNA (4660 nucleotides) under Androctonus crassicauda. Lineage: Eukaryota; Metazoa; Arthropoda; Arachnida; Scorpiones; Buthidae. The record is from RNAcentral.